ACUUAAAUUGAAGAGUUUGAUCAUGGCUCAGAUUGAACGCUGGCGGCAGGCCUAACACAUGCAAGUCGAGCGGUAACACAGAGAGCUUGCUCUCGGGUGACGAGCGGCGGACGGGUGAGUAAUGUCUGGGAAACUGCCUGAUGGAGGGGGAUAACUACUGGAAACGGUAGCUAAUACCGCAUAACGUCGCAAGACCAAAGUGGGGGACCUUCGGGCCUCAUGCCAUCAGAUGUGCCCAGAUGGGAUUAGCUAGUAGGUGGGGUAAUGGCUCACCUAGGCGACGAUCCCUAGCUGGUCUGAGAGGAUGACCAGCCACACUGGAACUGAGACACGGUCCAGACUCCUACGGGAGGCAGCAGUGGGGAAUAUUGCACAAUGGGCGCAAGCCUGAUGCAGCCAUGCCGCGUGUAUGAAGAAGGCCUUCGGGUUGUAAAGUACUUUCAGCGAGGAGGAAGGCAUUAAGGUUAAUAACCUUGGUGAUUGACGUUACUCGCAGAAGAAGCACCGGCUAACUCCGUGCCAGCAGCCGCGGUAAUACGGAGGGUGCAAGCGUUAAUCGGAAUUACUGGGCGUAAAGCGCACGCAGGCGGUCUGUCAAGUCGGAUGUGAAAUCCCCGGGCUCAACCUGGGAACUGCAUUCGAAACUGGCAGGCUAGAGUCUUGUAGAGGGGGGUAGAAUUCCAGGUGUAGCGGUGAAAUGCGUAGAGAUCUGGAGGAAUACCGGUGGCGAAGGCGGCCCCCUGGACAAAGACUGACGCUCAGGUGCGAAAGCGUGGGGAGCAAACAGGAUUAGAUACCCUGGUAGUCCACGCCGUAAACGAUGUCGACUUGGAGGUUGUGCCCUUGAGGCGUGGCUUCCGGAGCUAACGCGUUAAGUCGACCGCCUGGGGAGUACGGCCGCAAGGUUAAAACUCAAAUGAAUUGACGGGGGCCCGCACAAGCGGUGGAGCAUGUGGUUUAAUUCGAUGCAACGCGAAGAACCUUACCUACUCUUGACAUCCAGAGAACUUAGCAGAGAUGCUUUGGUGCCUUCGGGAACUCUGAGACAGGUGCUGCAUGGCUGUCGUCAGCUCGUGUUGUGAAAUGUUGGGUUAAGUCCCGCAACGAGCGCAACCCUUAUCCUUUGUUGCCAGCGGUCCGGCCGGGAACUCAAAGGAGACUGCCAGUGAUAAACUGGAGGAAGGUGGGGAUGACGUCAAGUCAUCAUGGCCCUUACGAGUAGGGCUACACACGUGCUACAAUGGCAUAUACAAAGAGAAGCGACCUCGCGAGAGCAAGCGGACCUCAUAAAGUAUGUCGUAGUCCGGAUUGGAGUCUGCAACUCGACUCCAUGAAGUCGGAAUCGCUAGUAAUCGUAGAUCAGAAUGCUACGGUGAAUACGUUCCCGGGCCUUGUACACACCGCCCGUCACACCAUGGGAGUGGGUUGCAAAAGAAGUAGGUAGCUUAACCUUCGGGAGGGCGCUUACCACUUUGUGAUUCAUGACUGGGGUGAAGUCGUAACAAGGUAACCGUAGGGGAACCUGCGGUUGGAUCACCUCCUUACCUAAAGAA
Molecule: ribosomal RNA, 1553 nt
Filed under: Klebsiella aerogenes
Lineage: Bacteria; Pseudomonadati; Pseudomonadota; Gammaproteobacteria; Enterobacterales; Enterobacteriaceae
Description: bacterial SSU rRNA
Rfam family: Bacterial small subunit ribosomal RNA
Source: RNAcentral